UACGUAGGUGGCAAGCGUUGUCCGGAAUUAUUGGGCGUAAAGGGCGCGUAGGCGGUCCCUUAAGUCAGAUGUGAAAUCCCGAGGCUCAACUUCGGGCGUGCAUUUGAAACUGGGGGACUAGAGUGCAGGAGAGGUAAGUGGAAUUCCUAGUGUAGCGGUGAAAUGCGUAGAUAUUAGGAGGAACACCAGUGGCGAAGGCGACUUACUGGACUGUAACUGACGCUGAGGCGCGAAAGCGUGGGGAGCAAACAGG
This 253-nucleotide ribosomal RNA is filed under the name uncultured bacterium. RNAcentral describes it as "partial 16S ribosomal RNA". It matches the Rfam family "Bacterial small subunit ribosomal RNA", at positions 524 to 776 of the family's 1533-position model. The record is from RNAcentral.